AUGUCUACGGCGGCUGCAUCCCGGCCCAGCGGCCCCAUCCUUUUGAGUCCCUUUCCCAACUACCAAUCCGCCUCGCUCUCCCGCGUCAAGCUCUCCGUCGCCGGCUCGCCGGUCAAGUCCUUCAGCGUCUCGUCUCCCCCCUCCUCCCCCACCACCGCCCCCAAGAUCCGUCGGUCCUGCAUGUGCUCCCCGACGAACCAUCCCGGCUCGUUCCGCUGCAGCCUCCACAAGGAGCGCAAGCAGGAGGUCCCGGCCGCCGGCAGCUGUAGCAAGCCCGCCUCACCGCCUUCGCCGCCUUCGAAUUCGAAGCUCACGGCGAGCCCGUUCGCGCAGCUCGUCCCCAGAGGCAGCGGCAGCUCUAAACGCUCAUAG
Molecule: ribosomal RNA, 372 nt
Filed under: Triticum aestivum (bread wheat)
Lineage: Eukaryota; Viridiplantae; Streptophyta; Magnoliopsida; Poales; Poaceae
Description: partial small subunit ribosomal RNA
Source: RNAcentral